RNAcentral lists this ribosomal RNA (253 nucleotides) under uncultured bacterium. Its description in RNAcentral is "partial 16S ribosomal RNA". It matches the Rfam family "Bacterial small subunit ribosomal RNA", at positions 524 to 776 of the family's 1533-position model. The record is from RNAcentral.
UACGGAGGGUGCAAGCGUUAUCCAGAUUUACUGGGUUUAAAGGGUGCGUAGGUGGGUUGGUAAGUCAGUGGUGAAAUCCCCGGGCUUAACUUGGGAACUGCCAUUGAUACUAUCAGUCUUGAAUACCGUGGAGGUCAGCGGAAUAUGUCAUGUAGCGGUGAAAUGCUUAGAUAUGACAUAGAACACCAAUUGCGAAGGCAGCUGGCUACCCGAAUAUUGACACUGAGGCACGAAAGCGUGGGGAUCAAACAGG